RNAcentral lists this ribosomal RNA (270 nucleotides) under uncultured prokaryote. RNAcentral's name for it is "partial 16S ribosomal RNA". It matches the Rfam family "Archaeal small subunit ribosomal RNA", at positions 474 to 743 of the family's 1478-position model. The record is from RNAcentral.
CACCAGAGUCACAAGUGGCAAUCAUAAUUAUUGGGCCUAAAGGGUUCGUAGCUGAUUCAAUAAAUCUUUUGUGAAAUUGUUAGACUUAAUUUAACAUUGUGCAAAAGAAACUGUUGAGUUUGAGACCAGUAAAAGGCAGAAGUAUUCUAGGGGGAGUGGUAAAAUAUUAUAAUCCCUAGAGGACUACCAAUGGCGAAAGCAUCUGUCUUGGAUGGGUCUGACAGUGAGGAACGAAGGCUAGGGGAGCAAUCCGGAUUAGAUACCCCCGUA